Molecule: ribosomal RNA, 253 nt
Filed under: uncultured bacterium
Lineage: Bacteria
Description: partial 16S ribosomal RNA
Rfam family: Bacterial small subunit ribosomal RNA
Source: RNAcentral
UACGUAGGGGGCUAGCGUUGUCCGGAUUUAUUGGGCGUAAAGCGCGUGUAGGCGGCCAGGUAGGUCCGCUGUGAAAACUCGAGGCUCAACCUCGAGAUGUCGGCGGAAACCAUCUGGCUAGAGUCCGGAAGAGGAGAGUGGAAUUCCCGGUGUAGCGGUGAAAUGCGCAGAUAUCGGGAAGAACACCCGUGGCGAAGGCGGGUCUCUGGACAGUUCCUGACGCUGAGGCACGAAGGCCAGGGGAGCAAACGGG